Molecule: unclassified non-coding RNA, 202 nt
Filed under: Borreliella burgdorferi (Lyme disease spirochete)
Lineage: Bacteria; Pseudomonadati; Spirochaetota; Spirochaetia; Spirochaetales; Borreliaceae
Description: partial 5S-23S ribosomal RNA intergenic spacer
Source: RNAcentral
UUAUUUUAUACUUUAAACUUUGAUUUUAUUUUUAUGUUUUUUAAAUAUUGGUGUUUUUGAAUGUGUUGUUUAAAUAACAUAAAAAAUAAAAUAUAUAUUGACAUGUAUUAAACAAAGAUAUAUAUUAUUUUAUGUUGUAUAAAUAAAUUGGCAAAAUAGAGAUGGAAGAUAAAAAUAUGGUCAAAGUAAUAAGAGUCUAUGG